CUUGCCGUAGCUGGGACUCCGUGAAGGGCCACAAGCACUGCUUGUAGUUAAUCUCGUGGUGUCCGCUGAGGUGGUCGGACACGUGGGAUCAGGCUAACCAUCAUCAGCAGAGUUGAAGUUCUACAGUUCUUCAUUCUUAUUGAAGACCAGUAUUUGGAUUAGUGAUGCUUUGCUGUUGACUCGGGAUCUGGCUAAACUGGAAAAGGCAUUGAAAUCCUCCAUGAGGAAGAUAGAUUUAGAACUUCGUGAUUGAGAUUGAUGGCAAAUGUGUUGGAUCGACAACCGAAUCAAUUGGUCCCAGCAUCCUCAGUAUUUUUAUGAUAUUCUGGACAACAGUGUAACAGCAGAGGAACAGAAAGACAGGCCAUUGAAAGUUGAAGGCAAGUAGGAGAAAUAUUUGCAAAUUACAAAUGAAAAGAUCAAGUUUUUUUUUAAGAAAACAAAAGAAGAACUAAAAGCAGAACAGGAUCAGAGAUAAUGGGAACUGCAGAUGCUGGAGAAUCCAAGAUAACAAAGUGUGAAGCUGGAUGAACACAGCAGGCCAAGCAGCAUCUCAGGAGCACAAAAGCUGACAUUUCGGGCCUAGACCCUUCAUCAGAGAGAACAGAAUCGACUUGAUGCAACUCAGUUCAGAAUAUAAUGAAUUCUGCUGAAUAUUGAAAGGUAUUUUAUACCACAGAAAGAUAGGAAUAA
Stegostoma tigrinum is the source of this 693-nucleotide long non-coding RNA. RefSeq lists it as uncharacterized. The record is from RefSeq and is a predicted model, not a curated record. Lineage: Eukaryota; Metazoa; Chordata; Chondrichthyes; Orectolobiformes; Stegostomatidae. The transcript has 5 exons.